GAUGAACGCUGGCGGCGUGCCUAAUACAUGCAAGUCGAGCGAACAGACGAGGAGCUUGCUCCUCUGACGUUAGCGGCGGACGGGUGAGUAACACGUGGAUAACCUACCUAUAAGACUGGGAGGACUUCGGGAAACCGGAGCUAAUACCGGAUAACAUGUUGAACCGCAUGGUUCAACAGUGAUAGACGGUCUGGGUGUCACUUAUAGAUGGAUCCGCGCCGCAUUAGCUAGUUGGUAAGGUAACGGCUUACCAAGGCAACGAUGCGUAGCCGACCUGAGAGGGUGAUCGGCCACACUGGAACUGAGACACGGUCCAGACUCCUACGGGAGGCAGCAGUAGGGAAUCUUCGGCAAUGGGCGAAAGCCUGACGGAGCAACGCCGCGUGAGUGAAGAAGGUCUUCGGAUCGUAAAACUCUGUUAUUAGGGAAGAACAAAUGUGUAAGUAACUAUGCACGUCUUGACGGUACCUAAUCAGAAAGCCACGGCUAACUACGUG
Molecule: ribosomal RNA, 497 nt
Filed under: uncultured bacterium
Lineage: Bacteria
Description: partial 16S ribosomal RNA
Rfam family: Bacterial small subunit ribosomal RNA
Source: RNAcentral